CGCACGCCGCAUCCCCUCCCUCCUCGAUCUCUCUCCCUCAUCAGCCGCCAAAGUAACAAACCCUAGCCCACUUUCUCCACGGUUCCCCAUGGUCGCCGUGCCUCUCACUCCUCCCUCCUGCCUCAUCCUCCUUCCCUCCUUAGAUGCCAUGGUGGCAGCCGGGCCAGGGCGGGGGAAGAAAGCCGUGGGGAGUCCGCCGGCAGGAGGAAGUAGUAGAGGCUGGUGGAGUGACGGAUGCCGAGGGCCUCGUCCAGGCGGCCGCCGCCGGCCUCAGACCCGCCGCCUCCCGCCAUGACGAGCUGUUCCGCGCCGUGCGCGCGGUCGACAAGGAUCUCCGGGGCGCCGCCGCCGGCCAGGAGGAGAACGAGAUGGAACGCCAACAUUCGCUUGGCCGAGGCUUGCUUGGGGAGCCGUCGACAAGCCGGCGGGGUGAGCUACUGUCUGGUCCCCUAUUGUCGGCGACCGUGGUGUCGAGCAAGAGCGGGUCGUGUCAUCAUGGGAAGAGGCUCAAUGGCUCACCAUCGAAGAGCCAUCGUAGGAGCCACAAUGUCAAAAAAGCUACAGACGGGAGGAGGUCGGGAUGGAACUACCUCUUCCCCAUGUGAGCUCUCUCUUCUAGCUCCCGCUCCACCUCUCCUCAUGCUCCCUCUCCCCCCUGCCCUCCUCUGUUAGGUGAUUCAUCCUCUUCUUUUCCUUUCAGAGAGAUGAUGAGGUCUAGCUAGGUAUCUCCUAGGGGGAUUUUUAUUUCUUUUUGUCUACCUGAUGCUCACAUCUAGCUAGGCUUCUCUGGAGGAAUUUUUUUUGUUUCGUUGAUUUUGUUGUGUACCUUGCAUAUGUUCCUGCAAAGGGGAUUCUGUCUCUUCCUAUUUAGCAGAUGCUCUCAGAUCUAGCUAGAUUACUAGAAGGCUUUUUGUUGUCUUUUUGGCUGUUUGGCACCUCGCUUUUUCCUCAUCGAGAAGGGGGGCGGAUUUGUCCUAGAGCUGCUUUCUUUACAUAUGAGGCUUUUGUUCGUUUGCCUGAUGUGUUACCCUCCUUUCAGCUGUAGGACUUUCAGGAUAGACCUUCCUAUCAAUUUUUAUUCGAUAAACUUAACAUAUCUCAUGGAAAUUCUGGUAUGAGAUGUGUUUUUUGCGGUGGCUGUUCUUGCAUAUUUGUGCGUUGUAGCAGAUUUAGUGACAAAAACAUUUUUAAGUCCUGGAGCAUCAGUAUAUUUAAAUUUAUUUUCCUUUUGCCCAUUUUGUUUGAUGUAUUUUGUCAAGAGGAAUUGAUUCUGUACUUAAUAUGCGAGGAGCUCAUGAGUUCGUGUCGCUGCUGUACGUCGUCUCUCCCUCCUCCCGGCUCUCAACAGGAGCACUGCAGACCCUCCACAACUGAGGAUACCUAGAACGUACGGUCCUACUCUUGACAUUGAUUUCAAAAAAUGAUAUGUGCGGAUCUUAGGAAGAACAUAUAAAGUUAAAUUUGGUGGUGUUGCUUUUUUUGUCGUUGUGGUUGCGGAAUGGCGCACAGCAACUGGGAAGCGGACUAAAGCCAUGGCACCAGUGGUAGCUCUUUGAUGGAGCGCCUCCUGCCAUGAAGGCACAACCAGCGGCUCCCCACGAUACACAACACCGGGAUGAUGAGGUAUGCCAUGGAAUGGUUGGGUUUUGAGUGGUAGGUGAUCCCUAUGCCGGCUGUGAUAGCGGCCAUCAUUGGUAUACAACAAUGCAGCGAUUGUCUCGGGUGUGCUCCUAUCCUCCCCACUUCCCCUAGAUGCACAAUGUUAGGAAAACUAAUGAUUUUGUUCUCGGAUGUUCAUACAUAAUCUAGGUUGUUAUUGAGCUCCACGACUGGCCUUAGAUUGGCUAUUCAGCAUCGGCACACUUUACUCAAAUCUAUACCAUAAGAACAUGUGCUCCAGUCUGACAAAGCAGCCAAGCUGUAUAUACACAUCUUUGCUUCCUGAUCCAUUUUGUUUUGCGAUUCAGGCCACCCCUGAUGGUCAGGCUGAUGCUUCUUCGCUUGAUUCUGAAGAAAAGGAUGAUCAGAUUCAGAUCCCCCAAGAACAAUAGAGAAGAAAAGAGGGGUUGUCAGGUCAGACUUUGGUGCGUCUCUGACUAGAGAUAGCUGGAUCCGUGUGACGCUCUCCCAAAUAGUGCAGAUUCACUGACUGGUACAACCUCUAUAUCUUUGCUACUCUAGCUUAUUUUUACAUUUCUUAGUAUCAACAAAUAAGUUGGCCCCAGUAUAUACUUGAAGAUUGCAUCUGGUACAAAAUUGUUGGCUGACUAAAAUAAUUAGGUAUACUGCUCAUCUAUCUUUUAGAAAUAGAUAAUGGUAAUUUUUUCUAACGUUGGCCCACCCGGUUAUUUGAGUUGUGUCUAUGAAGGGUCAGUAGAAUAGUUGCUUUGAAAAAACCGGGAGUACCAAUUUGGUUGCCAUGCGAUUGUAAGGCCAGAAUGGUGGUACUGAAAAGUGGUCUGUAAUGGUCAUCUGUGUUCUGGAGUUGGAACUUUGAUUCUUUUGAAGCUGGAGUAGCUAGGUUGUCUAUACAUACAUGCCACCCACUAAAUUCAGAUUUCAGUAUACUGUUUAGAAUACCACUUGCUUUCACUAUAAGUACUGGACUACUAUGAGUGUCGUCGCCUUCGUCGAUGAGAGGACGAGAGCGGCAAUAGCACUAGCCAGCGAGGCAGGCUGCUUGGCUCUGAGGCCGACACACACCGUCCACUUCCGUUGGGCUGAUCUGCCACUUCAAAAACUUAUGGUGGCCAUAAGAAAUCUCAAGAGCUUAUUGUGAUGAUUUAAAUGUAAGCAGUUUCCCUCGUUGUGCUUGUGUGCUUCUAUGUCUUUCGUGGUCUAUUCUUAGUGUAUGGAAUGGUUAUAUUAGCCCUGUAGUUUACUUUAACUUUUGAAUCUUGAUGCAUCGAAAAUAGUUGUAAACUGAGACCUUAUUUCUGUGGGUGAAAGAAUAGAUGCACACUGGCUCUUUUGUUGUUUUUGAUUAUUGAAAGAUACACAUUUUGGUUUGCAUUAAUGGUGGUUAAAGUAUAAAAAUGGUAGUAAAACCAACAUCCAACUUUCUACAUCUAAAAUUUUGGAUUGUUGUGCCAAAAAUAAAAAGUAAAGAAGGAUAAAUCUCCUUCAAUAUUCAGUUGGUAUGCAGCUGCAGCUUCUAUGUCAUAUUUGGAAGCUACUCUAUGUGAUUUUUUGUGUAGUUCGUGAUCAAAUGAAGAUAGAAUUUUUAUGAAUAUAACAUGUGCAACAUGCUACUAACCGAGUCAAGUUUGUUUGAAUUUGUUCACUUUGUAGUCAGUGGAAAUAUGGAUGUCUUAUGCACUUUUCCUGCGAAAGAUGAACUUCAUGUUGCUUGCUAUGAAGAAAUGAGGUGUUUGCCUGGUUGUAAAUUUCAUGCUGAUGUUAUUGUAAUUAUGUUAUGUUCUCUAAAGAAACAUGGGGUCGGAUCCAAUAGGUUAAGAAAAAGAGCAUUGUUCAGCUACGACAAUAGUCAAUGAAGAGCUAAUCGAAGACAUUUCCUGAUCGCAAUAGCCAAUGAAGAGCAAUUCGAAGGGGUAGACAUAUUUUGUUGGCUGCAAGCCCCUAUUUUCUUCAAUUAAGAGAGAUUAUAUUUGUUUC
Molecule: RNA transcript, 3615 nt
Organism: Triticum dicoccoides
Lineage: Eukaryota; Viridiplantae; Streptophyta; Magnoliopsida; Poales; Poaceae
Exons: 5
Source: RefSeq, a predicted model, not a curated record